GUCUCUGUGGCACAAUUGGUUAGCGUGUUUGGCUGUUAACCAAAAGGUUGGUGGUUCGAGCCCACCCAGGGACA
Molecule: transfer RNA, 74 nt
Filed under: Callithrix jacchus (white-tufted-ear marmoset)
Lineage: Eukaryota; Metazoa; Chordata; Mammalia; Primates; Cebidae
Description: tRNA-Asn (GTT) (tRNA-Asn-GTT-5-1)
Rfam family: tRNA
About the family: Transfer RNA (tRNA) molecules are approximately 80 nucleotides in length. Their secondary structure includes four short double-helical elements and three loops (D, anti-codon, and T loops).
Source: Rfam by way of RNAcentral